UGAGGAAUAUUGCGCAAUGGACGGAAGUCUGACGCAGCAACGCCGCGUGAGCGAUGAAGGCCUUCGGGUCGUAAAGCUCUUUUCUGAGGGACGAGGAAGGACGGUACCUCAGGAAUCAGUCUCGGCUAACUACGUGCCAGCAGCCGCGGUAAAACGUAGGAGGCAAGCGUUAUCCGGAUUUAUUGGGCGUAAAGCGCAUGCAGGUGGUGUCACAAGUCGGGUGUAAAAGCUCCUGGCUUAACUGGGAGAGGUCGCGCGAAACUGUGAGACUAGAGGUCGGAAGAGGGAAGCGGAAUUCCCGGUGUAGUGGUGGAAUGCGUAGAUAUCGGGAGGAACACCAGUGGCGGAAGCGGCUUCCUGGUCCGCACCUGACACUCAGAUGCGAAAGCGUGGGGAGCGAACG
This 403-nucleotide ribosomal RNA is filed under the name uncultured prokaryote. RNAcentral describes it as "bacterial SSU rRNA". It matches the Rfam family "Bacterial small subunit ribosomal RNA", at positions 355 to 774 of the family's 1533-position model. The record is from RNAcentral.